This is a non-coding RNA of Podarcis lilfordi (Lilford's wall lizard), 75 nucleotides long. NCBI's taxonomy places the organism in Eukaryota, Metazoa, Chordata, Lepidosauria, Squamata, Lacertidae. The record is from the annotation of a GenBank genome assembly.
GCCUGGAUAGCCCAGUUGGUAAGAGCCUGGUGCUGAUAAUGACCAAGGAUGCAGGUUCGAUACCCGCAUGGGACA